RNAcentral lists this ribosomal RNA (324 nucleotides) under uncultured eukaryote. RNAcentral's name for it is "partial 18S ribosomal RNA". It matches the Rfam family "Eukaryotic small subunit ribosomal RNA", at positions 1470 to 1796 of the family's 1831-position model. The record is from RNAcentral.
CCCUUAGAUGCUCUGGGCCGCACGCGCGCUACACUGGUCGAUGCAACGAGUUUCUUUCCUUGGCCGACAGGCCUGGGCAAUCUUUGAACAUCGAUCGUGAUCGGGAUAGAUUCUUGUAAUUUUUGAUCUUAAACGAGGAAUUCCUAGUAAACGCAAGUCAUCAGCUUGCAUUGAUUACGUCCCUGCCCUUUGUACACACCGCCCGUCGCACCUACCGAUUGAAUGGUCCGGUGAAAUCUCCGGACUGGCGUGAGUCGGAGCAAUCUGACAAACACCGGAAAGUUGAUUAAACCUUACCAUUUAGAGGAGGGCGAAGUCGUAACA